This 1448-nucleotide ribosomal RNA is filed under the name Microbacterium sp. NII-1012. RNAcentral's name for it is "16S ribosomal RNA". It matches the Rfam family "Bacterial small subunit ribosomal RNA". The record is from RNAcentral. Lineage: Bacteria; Bacillati; Actinomycetota; Actinomycetes; Micrococcales; Microbacteriaceae.
AGAGUUUGAUCCUGGCUCAGGAUGAACGCUGGCGGCGUGCUUAACCAUGCAGUCGAACGAUGAAGCCCAGCUUGCUGGGUGGAUUAGUGGCGAACGGGUGAGUAACACGUGAGCAAUCUGCCCCUCACUCUGGGAUAAGCGCUGGAAACGGCGUCUAAUACUGGAUACGAGCUGCGACCGCAUGGUCAGUAGUUGGAAAGAAUUUCGGUGGGGGAUGAGCUCGCGGCCUAUCAGCUUGUUGGUGAGGUAAUGGCUCACCAAGGCGUCGACGGGUAGCCGGCCUGAAGGGUGACCGGCCACACUGGGACUGAGACACGGCCCAGACUCCUACGGGAGGCAGCAGUGGGGAAUAUUGCACAAUGGGCGGAAGCCUGAUGCAGCAACGCCGCGUGAGGGAUGACGGCCUUCGGGUUGUAAACCUCUUUUAGCAGGGAAGAAGCGAAAGUGACGGUACCUGCAGAAAAAGCGCCGGCUAACUACGUGCCAGCAGCCGCGGUAAUACGUAGGGCGCAAGCGUUAUCCGGAAUUAUUGGGCGUAAAGAGCUCGUAGCGGUUUGUCGCGUCUGCUGUGAAAUCUGGAGGCUCAACCUCCAGCCUGCAGUGGGUACGGGCAGACUAGAGUGCGGUAGGGGAGAUUGGAAUUCCUGGUGUAGCGGUGGAAUGCGCAGAUAUCAGGAGGAACACCGAUGGCGAAGGCAGAUCUCUGGGCCGUAACUGACGCUGAGGAGCGAAAGGGUGGGGAGCAAACAGGCUUAGAUACCCUGGUAGUCCACCCCGUAAACGUUGGGAACUAGUUGUGGGGUCCAUUCCACGGAUUCCGUGACGCAGCUAACGCAUUAAGUUCCCCGCCUGGGGAGUACGGCCGCAAGGCUAAAACUCAAAGGAAUUGACGGGGACCCGCACAAGCGGCGGAGCAUGCGGAUUAAUUCGAUGCAACGCGAAGAACCUUACCAAGGCUUGACAUACACGAGAACGCCGCAGARAUGUGGAACUCUUUGGACACUCGUGAACAGGUGGUGCAUGGUUGUCGUCAGCUCGUGUCGUGAGAUGUUGGGUUAAGUCCCGCAACGAGCGCAACCCUCGUUCUAUGUUGCCAGCACGUAAUGGUGGGAACUCAUGGGAUACUGCCGGGGUCAACUCGGAGGAAGGUGGGGAUGACGUCAAAUCAUCAUGCCCCUUAUGUCUUGGGCUUCACGCAUGCUACAAUGGCCGGUACAAAGGGCUGCAAUACCGUGAGGUGGAGCGAAUCCCAAAAAGCCGGUCCCAGUUCGGAUUGAGGUCUGCAACUCGACCUCAUGAAGUCGGAGUCGCUAGUAAUCGCAGAUCAGCAACGCUGCGGUGAAUACGUUCCCGGGUCUUGUACACACCGCCCGUCAAGUCAUGAAAGUCGGUAACACCUGAAGCCGGUGGCCCUAACCUGUGGAGGRRCCGUCGAAGGUGGGAUCGGU